Molecule: RNA transcript, 1249 nt
Organism: Lemur catta (Ring-tailed lemur)
Lineage: Eukaryota; Metazoa; Chordata; Mammalia; Primates; Lemuridae
Gene name: elongation factor 1-alpha 1-like
Exons: 1
Source: RefSeq, a predicted model, not a curated record
AAGGAGGCCGCUGAAAUGGGAAAGGGCUCCUUUAAGUAUGCCUGGGUCUUGGAUUAACUGAAAGCUGAGCAUGACCAUGGUAUCAGCAUUGAUAUCUCCCUGUGGAAAUUUAAGAACAGCAAAUAUUAUGUGACUAUUAUUGAUGCCCCAGGACACAGAGACUUUAUCAAAAACAUGAUUACAGGCACAUCUCAGGCUGACUGUCGGGUCCUGAUUGUUGCUGCUGGUGUUGGUGAAUUUGAAGCUGCUCAAAGAAUGGGCAGACCCGUCAGCAUGCCCUUCUGGCUUACACACUAGGUGUGAAACAACUGAUUGUUGGUGUUAACAAAAUGGAUUCCACUGAGCCGCCCUACAGCCAGAAGAGAUAUGAGGAAAUUGUUAAAGAAAUCAGCACUUACAUUAAGAAAAUUGGCUACAACCCUGACACAGUAGUGUUUGUGCCAAUUUCUGGUUGGAAUGGUGACAACAUGUUGGAGCCAAGUGCCAACAUGCCUUGGUUCAAGGGAUGGAAAGUCACCCGGAAAGAUGGCAACAACAGUGGAACCACGCUGCCUGAAGCUCUGGAUUGCAUCCUGCCACCAGCUUGUCCAGCUGACAAGCCCUUGCAUCUGCCCCUCCAGGAUGUCUACAAAAUUGAUGGUAUUGGUACUGCCCCUGGGGGCUGAGUGGAGACUGGUGUUCUCAAACAUGGCAUGGUGGUCACCUUCGCUCCAGUCAAUGUUACAACUGAAAUAAAGUCUGUUGAAAUGCACCAUGAAGCUUUGAGUGGAGCUCUUCCAGGGGACAAUGUGUGCUUCGACGUCAAGAAUGUGUCUGUCAAAGAUGUUUGUCGUGGCAACAUUGCUGGUGAUAGCAAAAAUGACCCACCAGUGGAAGCAUCUGGCUCAGGUGAUUAUCCUGAACCAUCCAGGCCAAAUUAAUGCUGGCUGUGCUCCUGUACUGGAUCAUCACACAGUUCAUAUUGCCUGCAAAUUUGCUGAGCUGAAGGAAAAGAUUGAUCGCUGCUCUGAAAAGAAGCUGGAGGAUGGCCCUAAAGUCUUGAAAUCUGGUGAUGCUGCCAUCGUUGAUACGGUUCCUGGCAAGCUCAUGUGUGUCAAGACCUUCUCAGACUAUCCUCCUCUGGGGUCGUUGUGCUGUUCAUGAUAUGAGACAGACAGUGGCUGUGGGUGUCAUCAAAGCAGUGGACAAGAAGGGUGUUGGAGCUGGCACAGUCACCAAAUCUGCCCAGAAAGCUCAGAAGGCUAAAUGA